RNAcentral lists this long non-coding RNA (3613 nucleotides) under Coffea arabica (coffee). RNAcentral's name for it is "long non-coding RNA (CARA_LNC007855)". The record is from RNAcentral. Lineage: Eukaryota; Viridiplantae; Streptophyta; Magnoliopsida; Gentianales; Rubiaceae.
AGAUUUUGAGUUUGGUAGCCAAAAACCAGUCCAUGAGAUUUGCAUUAUAAACACAUAACUCAGUAAUAUGUGAGAUACGGAGACAGCAUCAAAAUAAACCAAAAACUGUGUCCACAAGAUGCUUAUUAGAAAAAACUAAAUUCCAGAACAGGAUAGUCUAGGUCCAGGUCGCAUUACAUCGAAGAGUUUCGAACAGAAUUUCACGGAUUAAUAAUGACACAAUCUCAGCAGCCUCAGCAACCUGUUAGAACAUUGAACAAACACCAUUAGAUACGUUGAAGUGAAAAAGAUAAAUAAAGAAAAAGAGAAGAAAAAUGUCACCACAAUAAAUAGUAGAAGAACUAUAAACUGGUUUUCCUAUUGAUUUUUUUGUUCCGAAAAAAAAAAAAAGAUAUGCAAACAACAAUAACCGACUAAGAAGACCACAAAAUUUCGACACGACUAAGAAGACCACAACUUUUUAGGACAAUCCACUGUCCCAAACGGAUCCCAUACCAGUACCGGUGUCAAGUUAUGUCGACACGGGUACAUUGGGGUAAAACAAAGAGCUAAUCUGUUAGUGUCACCAGUUUGACAAGCAUGGUGCAGCUUAUACCCCUGAUGGCAACAAUGGCUUUCACCCUGACAAAAUUAUACAUAACUUGAUGACUAUGUCUUGGAAAAUCUUGUGCAUUGCUCAGGCUUCCAAGAAAGAUAGAUGGUGAGAGUGAUAGCUGGAAAUUUCAAUCACUUAAUAAAGCUCACUUCUCUCUUCCUUUCUACCUGGAUCGUAAGAAUCAACUUUCCAUUCCAUGGAACUGGUCAUGAAAAAGUUAAUGUGUGUUAGGAACCAAAUAUACCCCUCAUUUCAACACACCUUAUUUAUAUCUACAGCCAAGCCCCACAAAAACUUUGGGUUUUAAGAGGACGGAAAGCAAAUUCCAUCAAAAAAACGGUUUCAAGAUUAUAAUCGUGUUUGAAUUUACUGAUGACAAGAAUGAUGAAUCCAGCUACAGCUUUGCCGAGUAAUGUCAUCAGAAAAACCACUUCUAACAGGCUUGAGUAUCAUUCUUCAAUGCAAGUGUAGAUACCAAACCAGUAACAUGCCAACUUGCACUCACAGCAGUUUUGUUACCAGCAAUUAGCCAGUAGGGUUUUCAGACUUCAAUAACAGUAUGAGAGCUGCGAAAACACUAUGCAAUGAAAGUUGCUAACAAGCAACUGUUAAGAAUUGAACUUUGUUCCAACCUCGAAAGGAAAAGAUAUCAGAAACUAUAAUACUCAACAACUGUUAUUUGCCUAUAUCUCUCUCUGCCCCUAACUCAAACAUACUUUCCAUUCAACUGAAGUUCAAACUCAAUAAAAGCCCAGAUUCCCAGGAAUACAGCUUAUUUUUAAAUGUGAGUAUUAUCCUCAGCUAUCUUUUCUCUGGAAAAGCUGUUUAAUCAGAUUCUUUCCUAGCUGGGGAUACAAUGUAUCUCUACAUGCCCCUUGGAAGAGAGCUUUUGGCUACAAACCUCAAUAGGCCACAAUUGUUUUCCAGCUUAGCUCCACUACAUGGAUAAUUUCCUAUUUCUUUUUUUUUCAAGUCCUUUUGCCCAGUAUCAAGUGAAAAAUGAGGCUCAUACAAGAAAUGAAAGCUGUAACUGGCCAAAUCCCAUGGUUUUUUCUUCAUGCGAGCAGUUGCACUUAUAGCCAGUUUGUCACACGCCAAAUAGUCUACUCACUUAAUAUAACUAAAAAGCAGUCACGAAACACAACUGCUCUUAAUAAAAAAGAAGACAUCCAUUUAGCUUGAUGAUUUCAUAAGGUUCAGAUUGAUGCUUUGACAGAAUUUGGUAAACAUUCAGGUACAAAUGAAAAAACCUAGACAGAAACCUGAUGUACUGCAGGUGAACAUUUAUUAUCUAGUACAAAGGCAUUACAUUUGCAAUCUUUUCCAUUACAACAGAAUGAUUAGCUUCAAUACUUCUGAGGUACAAAAUUAUCAAAAUUUGUUCAGUUGACAACAGAAAACUAGUCAGGCCAUUAUAGUUAGCACAUCUAGAAACAACUUUGGGGUUAGAACAUUCAAAGGUAGCAAAAAGCUAAACACAGAUCCACACAAAGCAAAGGAACUAAAAAGUUCUCUCACUGAGUAUGUCUGAGCUGCAACAGAGCAUAUACAUCCUAAAACAAGUUCAUAUACAUUGUCUCCAAAGUGGCACUAUUCUUUGCCUACCAACUGAAGCAAAUCUCCAACCAACAAAAGUAAGGUACAAAAGAAGGAUAUAAGCUUUAUCACAAAGAAGCACAUAAAUGAGCAAUGCAACACUCUUAACAGAUACAGAAAUUCACUAAGAAACUCAUAAACUUGAAUUAAACCACAUUCGAUUAGAGAAAACGUAAAUGACCACUUACAAAACUAAAACAAGAAAAAUCCUUGAUUAAUACUCCCUCCGUUCCAUUUCAUUGACACAGUCAUAUUUUCCUUUUAAGUUCUCCCAAAAUAUUUAUAACUUACAUAAAUUGGCAAACACAUUUGCAUUCAAUUCCUCCAUUUACCGUUCAAACACUCCCUAAAAGUCCAAUGCAUGUGUCUUUUCAUGAGCCCACAGAUUAUUACCAACGAAACUAAGACAACUUCUUUUGUAGUACGCGCUAGCUGGCAUUAAGAAACUAAAGCAAUUAAGUGUUCCGAUGCACGCGCUAGUUGGCAAUCACAUCUGCGAUUGGACAAACAUCUUGGCUCCACAAUUCUUUAUGUCUUAGUACAACACUUAAAGCUCUUCAUGGGGGUGAAACGAGAAACUACAGCAUCAAUUUUCAAAUUCUAUCCACUCUUCAUAAAAAUUACAGUUCCCGAAGUGCGAUAAAUUUUAUGGGAUGAAGACCAAAACUGUCAUUAAAUUGCCUAUCAUACGAGUCAUUAGCUCAUAAAUUGCAAGCACUUCAACCAAAAAUUACAUUUCUAUGCCAAAAACCCCAUUCAGAGAUAACCUUAAGCUGUCAAACAUAGAGAUUAUAAAUCCUAAAGACUGUCAAUUAAAAAAACUAAAGCAAACCCACUUAACAAAACCUAUCCAACAGUCACCCAAGAAAAAAAAUUUUAUUUACCUUCCCUAAGAUUAAACCAAAUAAAACUUGAAACCCAGAAAAAUGUCAAAAAGCCUCCAAAAAAUCCCAGGAAAAAUUAUCCAAAAUAGAAGUCAAAGAAAAAACUAAAAAAUAAUUACCUUUAGAUCAAGCAUUUGGCAGUUUGAGGAAUAGGCUGCGCCGCUGGGGAGCCGUGUUUUUGUUGGGCUUCGGCUUCCGGGAUCUUCUGCAUCCGUUCCAUGACAAGCUCGUACACUCUCUUCUUACCUGCUUGAUUGAUUAACAAAUUGAUAAGACCGAAACAAGUAAUCUAUGUGGAUAUGCCACUCAUAUUCUCUGCCUGAUCAAUUAUACAUGUAAACAAAAUUCACAGCUUGAGGUAAAGCAAAAAUCAAGAGUCGGCCUUGUUUGGAUUCCCAUUUCUUCCCAAAAAAUUUUACACUUUGCGAUAAUGCAUCUUUCAAUCACUUUUUUUACCUCAUAUCAUAUCGUUACAAUAUUUUUUUAACAGAAACUCCAGAAAAUAGUAUCCAGACGGGCUAUUUGCGAUCUCAAAAGC